CGAAAGCCUGACGGAGCAACGCCGCGUGAGGGAUGAAGGCCUCUGGGCUGUAAACCUCUUUUCUCAAGGAAGAAGAUCUGACGGUACUUGAGGAAUAAGCCACGGCUAAUUCCGUGCCAGCAGCCGCGGUAAUACGGGAGUGGCAAGCGUUAUCCGGAAUCAUUGGGCGUAAAGCGUCCGCAGGCGGCCUUGAAAGUCUGUCGUUAAAGCGUGGAGCUUAACUCCAUUUCAGCGAUGGAAACUACAAGGCUUGAGUGUGGUAGGGGCAGAGGGAAUUCCCGGUGUAGCGGUGAAAUGCGUAGAUAUCGGGAAGAACACCAGUGGCGAAAGCGCUCUGCUGGGCCAUAACUGACGCUCAUGGACGAAAGCCAGGGGAGCG
This 379-nucleotide ribosomal RNA is filed under the name uncultured cyanobacterium. RNAcentral's name for it is "bacterial SSU rRNA". It matches the Rfam family "Bacterial small subunit ribosomal RNA", at positions 376 to 770 of the family's 1533-position model. The record is from RNAcentral. Lineage: Bacteria; Bacillati; Cyanobacteriota.